GACGAACGCUGGCGGCGUGCUUAACACAUGCAAGUCGACGACGCUACUGAGUAGCAAUAUUUAGUAGUGGAGUGGCGCAAGGGUGAGUAAUGUAUACGUAACCAACCCAUCGGAGACGGAUAACAUUUCGAAAGGGAUGCUAAAACGGCAUGAAGCCACGAUUUCGCAUGAGACUGUGGUUAAAGAACCGGUAACAGGUUGCCGAUGGCUGGGCGUAUAUCCGAUUAGCUAGUUGGUAGUGUAAUGGACUACCAAGGCGACGAUCGGUAGCUGGUCUGAGAGGAUGAUCAGCCACACUGGCACUGAGACACGGGCCAGACUCCUACGGGAGGCAGCAGUGGGGAAUAUUGGGCAAUGCCCGCAAGGGUGACCCAGCAACGCCGCGUGGAGGAUGAAGGCCGUAAGGUUGUAAACUCUGACAAGCAGGGAAGAACGGCUAUGGUAAAAGGCCAUAGAAUGACGGUACCUGCCUGAAGCCCCGGCUAACUACGUG
This 493-nucleotide ribosomal RNA is filed under the name uncultured bacterium. Its description in RNAcentral is "partial 16S ribosomal RNA". It matches the Rfam family "Bacterial small subunit ribosomal RNA", at positions 28 to 507 of the family's 1533-position model. The record is from RNAcentral.